RNAcentral lists this ribosomal RNA (253 nucleotides) under uncultured bacterium. Its description in RNAcentral is "partial 16S ribosomal RNA". It matches the Rfam family "Bacterial small subunit ribosomal RNA", at positions 524 to 776 of the family's 1533-position model. The record is from RNAcentral.
UACGUAGGGGGCAAGCGUUGUCCGGAAUCAUUGGGCGUAAAGCGCGCGUAGGCGGCCCGGUAAGUCCGCUGUAAAAGUCCAGGGCUCAACCCUGGAAAGCCGGUGGAUACUGUCGGGCUAGAGUCCGGAAGAGGCGAGUGGAAUUCCUGGUGUAGCGGUGAAAUGCGCAGAUAUCAGGAAGAACACCCGUGGCUAAGGCGGCUCUCUAGUACGGUACUGACGCUGAGGUGCGAAAGCGUGGGGAGCAAACAGG